GCCAGCGUAGCUCAACGGUAGAGCACCGGUUUUGUAAACCGGCGGUUAAGAGUUCGAUUCUCUUCGCUGGCU
Phycisphaerae bacterium is the source of this 72-nucleotide transfer RNA. It matches the Rfam family "tRNA". Rfam says of the family: Transfer RNA (tRNA) molecules are approximately 80 nucleotides in length. Their secondary structure includes four short double-helical elements and three loops (D, anti-codon, and T loops). NCBI's taxonomy places the organism in Bacteria, Pseudomonadati, Planctomycetota, Phycisphaerae. The record is from Rfam.